This is an RNA transcript of Dendrobium catenatum, 4231 nucleotides long. RefSeq lists it as uncharacterized. The record is from RefSeq and is a predicted model, not a curated record. The transcript has 4 exons. Lineage: Eukaryota; Viridiplantae; Streptophyta; Magnoliopsida; Asparagales; Orchidaceae.
UAUGUGUCUUCCUGAUGGAAGAAAGGUGAAUUUGGGCAGUAGAGGCCUGUUUGCUGCUCACACUUUUGGAAGUUUGUUUGGUUUGUUUUGUUUAGCAGUUUCUAUGAUGGACUUUCUUGGAUUUGUGCCAUGCAAUUAUCUUCUCAAAAGAAAAAAAAGGUUGCAUCUAUCCAGUUUUUAAAUAAACCUGUUAAGUAUAGCUUUAUUGGACCCAACGCAGAGGUAACUCAAUGAUAAAAAAUUCUCUCUGCUUAUCCUUACCCAAUUUUUCUCCAUAACCCGACAUUUACUAUAUGCUUUACGACUUGCUUUUUCUGUCACUCUGUAUCCUCCCCAUUGAUAUGUAAGGUUGGCACGGAUGAAUCUAAAGAAGGUUCGGUUUUAGUGAAGUCUAUGGAGUUUUUAUUGGAUUUGCACGCAUACCACUGAAUUCAUAAAUAUUUAUACAUUUAAAUGCAAACUAUAGUUUUUUUUGCCAGCCGUCAAGGGGUAUCUAUACCGGUAUCACAAGAUGAUGCAGCAAUGCUCUUUGUAAGUAUGAGUAAAUUCUUCACUCUCUGCAGAAACUCAUUUUUUAAGUAUAAUUGCUUGCUCCUGUGUAUCUGUUGAUAACCUGUCCGGAUGUAGCUGUGGAUGGCUACUUGGUCGAUCUGCUUUGUUAUACGGUAAAGGUGAAUUCUUGUCUUUGAAUCUCUAUUUAUUUUCCUCCUAUGUUGAUGUUUGCGGGUUAAACUUAGCAAGUUCUGUUAACAUGGUAGGUGGAGAGAAUCCUUAUCCGUCUUCUAAGACUACUAUUAUGUUCUGUAUUAUACUGUACUGUCUUACCCCUUAGUUCUCUAAAGGAUUUGUUUGGGUUGAAUGAAUUUACUCCCUUUUUACUUCUCUUUACCCCUUCUUAUCCGCAGAAGAGCCACAGCUGUUAUGUUUGUUUCUCUCAGAAAGAAGACUGCGUUGAAAAGAAAAACUUUUUGAUGGGCAGGGGCCUAGCUCCGGAAGCAGAAAUUCUGCAUAGAAGACCUUCACUAUUAGAAUUACCCUCAAAUUUGUUCUCAAUGCUCUUCAUGGCGGAGGUGUAUAGAUUGCACGCGUUGCUUCUUCGGCUCCUUCGUGGCUGUUCGACUUCGCUCCUUCGACGACUUUCACUUCCUGUAGGAUUGGAAGUUACGAAAUUUUGAUCGGAAACAAGAGGAGGAUUUCGCUGGCUGUGAAAUUGAACUUUCUUCCUUUCAGGCGUUAUUAAUGUUGAAUCCCGUUAAAUCCGCCGAACAUAUGGAUUUAGUAAAUCCGGGAUUUAAGCUGUUAAUUUAGGGAUUUACAGAAUCCCGUGAUUUAACUUGCGCGCAAAAACCGUUUGGCUGGAUUUAUUGUAAAUUCGACUUGAAUCCGGGAUAAAUCUGAUACCAUACAGCCGCUUAGAGUUCCUAAUGUUUCUCUGUUAUUCUCUUUCAGCGGCACGGAGCAGCUUGGAAGGCCCUUGCCAUCUGCAGGCAACCGCUGCAUCCGUGUGCCUUGGUCUGCUUGCCAUGGUGUACAUGCACGGCGACCGCUCCAUCGAUGCGUUACUAGCAGAGAACUAGCGGGUUGAUCUGCGAAAUGAUUGAACAAAGGCGAAUCUGAGCCUGUUUAAUUUACGCACUUGUCUAUUGAACAUGCUCCGAAGCAAAACAAAUGAGCCCAUAUGAACAGACAUCACAGAUCAAGCUGUUCGUUGCUCUUCGAUUUCGGCUGCUUCGCGUAAGAGGUGGAGUUCCUGAAUGAGUUGCUAAUGAAAUUCUUUGCCUCCUUGGACGACAUUUCUUUCUAGUUGCUAUUGGAUCCGAAGUCACGCUUGCCGUUUGUUGGGUUUGUUUAGUUGAGCAGUUUCUAUGAAGCGCUUUCUUGGAUUUGUGCCAUGCCUUUUAUCUUCUAAACAAAAAAAGGAUCUCUCUCUCUCUCUCUCAGUUUGGAUGGGGCAAUGACGAAAUCCAUCACGGGAAAUCUUGCUCACACUAUGGACCAUGAUUUUUUGAGAUGGUUAUUCUGAGAUCUCAGCAUUUAUUCUUAUCCAGUGGCGAUGGAUCUGCUUGUUGAUUGAACAAAGGUGAAUCUGAGCACAUUUCCUUUACCCCUUCUCUAUAAAAAUAUGUUUUUUAUGUCCAAGCAAAUAACUGCCGACCCCUUAGUGUGGAUUAUUUCUUACGAUUUUUCCCAAGUUGAAGUCUAUCCUUUUUCUACUACGCCACCUAGUAUUAUAUUGAUGUUUGAAUGAAACUUAAUUUUUUUUUUUACCCACCAACUUAUUCACUUAAGUAUUUCCUCAGGCUAAAAAAAAGUAUUUCCUCGGGUUCAGGGAAUUCAUAUGAUUCUUUAAUUUUCUCCACUUCUACACAUGCCUCUUUAGAACCUCAGUAGGUUAUGCUUUUGGGCUCCUUCGAGAGAAGGCUGCUUUGAAAAAAAAAAAAAACAGUUAUGGCGGUAACAAGGAAAGUAACCGUAGCUCCUGAAGCGGAGCCAAUGAUAAUGGUUGAGUAGAUUUCUUAGCAUGAGUGACCUUUUCCGUUUUAGUUUAUCCCUAGAGGGAAUGAUUGUCAACACUGGAUUAAAAUAGUCUCAAAAGCUUUUAGAGAUUUUUGAUUUUUUUACGAGCAGAAUCUCUUUCAAAAUUGAUGCUUAUGCCAUCUUGUAGAGUGAAUGGUCUUUGAGAUAACUUUUGGGGGAUUUACAUACAUGCCAUUUUAUUUCAUGCUAUUUACGUAUCUAACACCCAAAACUUUGAUAUUACAUGCCUUUCAGCCAUAGAACAAAAAUAGGUGCAUGGAAUGAAAUAUUAAAAUUUGUAGGUUGGUUUGGGGGCGAUAAUGAAAUAUAGCAGUGAUGUAUUGUGCGCUACAAAAAUUUCAUGUUGUGCCCUCAGCCUCUCCGUACCCUGCCAUUGGUCUCUUUUCUUAUUUGUGUGACGGCGGAGAGUUUUAUUGAGAUUAGGUUCCAGUGAAUUUUCAGAAGACAGUUUGGGUUUAAGAUAAGACAUUACUCGGAGAUUAUGCCCUCAUUUUGCGCGGAAUUUAUGAUCUGAGUUCUGUUUUUUAUAGGUGCAAGUCCCUAUAGUUAAUUACCCCUCCUGAUAACAAGAGUGAACUUUCGAUUAAGGUUAGUUAUUAAAGCUGUCACAUUGGUUAUAAACCCAUGGCAUAAUAGCAUCAAUUUAGGGUUUGAAUUUUGGAUUUGAAUUUUGAAGUUUAAGAAUUUGAGGUUUAUCAUCCUAAACUUAAAACUGGUGGUGGUCUCUGGUUGAAUCCAAACAACACCUUGGUUGAUUAUAAUGAUUGGGAGGUCUCUGGAAAUUCACGAAGAUCUUCCCCCACACUAAAUAAGGGUGAAAUUUCUUCGUGAUUCUACUUUGCUAUUCUCUUGCAAUGACGCGGAGCAGCUUGGAAGGCCCAUGCAUAUUGUGGGGGCAACCACUGCGUCCAUCUGUUAGUGUUAUAUGAUGCUUAAAGUAUCAUUUUUGAACAAAUUUUUAAAGAUUUUUAUUUUGAUAGCCGUAUCAUUAAAAUAGAAUCUUUCAAGAAAAUAAAGUGUGGAUAAAGUGGAAAAAAAUGUGACCUAAUGAUAUUGCACUAGAGAUGUGGAUGCUUAGGAGAUCAAGUAAUUUUUUGAGCUUACUAAGUUUUAAAUAUUAUUUUGAUGACAAGAUGUCAGAUGAGUGGAGAUAAAUUGCGCUGGUUCUUAAUUAUAAGAAUUAAGGUGUUGCACAAGAAUAUGAGUAAUUGCCUCUAUGAACUCUUGUUAUUCGUUAUGACUGUUGGGUUUUAGCAGUUGACUAUGAUGCAACAUCUCACAGAUAUGGCAUUUAUGUUUGUGUUCAAGUUCUCAAUGGAGAAAAAAAUUAUUGUUAUGAACGUAGUAAGGUUUGAUGAUUUAUAUGAAAAUUUUAUCACCUGCGUAUCUGUUGAUAACCUGGCAAAGGCCGUGUCCGUGUGUAGCUGUGGAUAAUUUGUUGGUGCAUCUGCUUUGUUAUUCAGUAAAGGCGAAUUCUUGUCUUUGAAUCUCUAUUUAUUUUCCUCAUAUGUUGAUGAUUGCGGGUUAAGUUUAGCAAGUUCAGUUAACAUGAUAAGUGGAUUCAAAGCAUUAAAUAUAUGUAUGUAGGAGAUAUUACUUAUGUUCAAACACAAGUUGGUUUGACUAAGUAUUUUCCUUUUUCAGUUUGAUUACAUCAAGGAUCAACCUUAAGCCCAUAUUUUUUUGCUUUAGU